RNAcentral lists this ribosomal RNA (445 nucleotides) under uncultured bacterium. RNAcentral's name for it is "partial 16S ribosomal RNA". It matches the Rfam family "Bacterial small subunit ribosomal RNA", at positions 354 to 796 of the family's 1533-position model. The record is from RNAcentral.
GUGAGGAAUAUUGGUCAAUGGGCGAGAGCCUGAACCAGCCAAGUAGCGUGAGGGAUGACUGCCCUAUGGGUUGUAAACCUCUUUUGCAGGGGGGUAAAGUGGUCCACGUGUGGAUCAUUGCAAGUACCCUGCGAAUAAGGAUCGGCUAACUCCGUGCCAGCAGCCGCGGUAAUACGGAGGAUCCGAGCGUUAUCCGGAUUUAUUGGGUUUAAAGGGAGCGUAGGCGGGGGUUUAAGUCAGCUGUGAAAUGCCGUGGCCCAACCAUGGAACUGCAGUUGAAACUGGACCUCUUGAGAGUACAUAAGGAAGGCGGAAUUCGUGGUGUAGCGGUGAAAUGCAUAGAUAUCACGAAGAACUCCGAUUGCGAAGGCAGCUUUCCGGGGUACAUCUGACGCUGAAGCUCGAAAGUGCGGGAAUCAAACAGGAUUAGAAACCCCAGUAGUCC